RNAcentral lists this ribosomal RNA (467 nucleotides) under uncultured bacterium. Its description in RNAcentral is "partial 16S ribosomal RNA". It matches the Rfam family "Bacterial small subunit ribosomal RNA", at positions 28 to 507 of the family's 1533-position model. The record is from RNAcentral.
GAUGAACGCUGGCGGCGUGCUUAACACAUGCAAGUCGAACGGAAAGGCCCAAGCUUGCUUGGGUACUCGAGUGGCGAACGGGUGAGUAACACGUGGGUGAUCUGCCCUGCACUUCGGGAUAAGCCUGGGAAACUGGGUCUAAUACCGGAUAGGACCACUUCUUGGAUGUUGUGGUGGAAAGUUUUUUCGGUGUGGGAUGAGCUCGCGGCCUAUCAGCUUGUUGGUGGGGUAAUGGCCUACCAAGGCGUCGACGGGUAGCCGGCCUGAGAGGGUGUACGGCCACAUUGGGACUGAGAUACGGCCCAGACUCCUACGGGAGGCAGCAGUGGGGAAUAUUGCACAAUGGGCGCAAGCCUGAUGCAGAGACGCCGCGUGGGGGAGGACGGCCUUCGGGUUGAAAACUCCUUUCGCUAGGGACGAAGCGUUUUGUGACGGUACCUGGAGAAGAAGCACCGGCUAACUACGUG